UGGCGGACAGGUGAGUAACGCGUGGGUAACCUGCCUCAUACAGGGGGAUAACAGUUAGAAAUGACUGCUAAUACCGCAUAAGACCACAGCACCGCAUGGUGUAGGGGUAAAAACUCCGGUGGUAUGAGAUGGACCCGCGUCUGAUUAGGUAGUUGGUGGGGUAACGGCCUACCAAGCCGACGAUCAGUAGCCGACCUGAGAGGGUGACCGGCCACAUUGGGACUGAGACACGGCCCAA
Molecule: ribosomal RNA, 238 nt
Filed under: uncultured bacterium
Lineage: Bacteria
Description: partial 16S ribosomal RNA
Rfam family: Bacterial small subunit ribosomal RNA
Source: RNAcentral